Molecule: small nucleolar RNA, 116 nt
Filed under: Octodon degus (degu)
Lineage: Eukaryota; Metazoa; Chordata; Mammalia; Rodentia; Octodontidae
Description: Small nucleolar RNA SNORA1 (ENSODEG00000022218.1)
Rfam family: Small nucleolar RNA SNORA1
About the family: ACA1 is a member of the H/ACA class of snoRNA that guide the sites of modification of uridines to pseudouridines.
Source: RNAcentral
UGGAACAUACAUGGACAAAAUAUCUGAAUACAGUCAAUGUGGCUAAAAUUGAGACACAGGUCAUGCUUCCAUCACAGUAAAUACUUACAGUGGUGACAAUGAGGCCUGUAACAUUU